AGCUUUGCACAGUGGCGGUACCAUAGCCAGUGAGGUUUAUCCGAGGUGUGAUUAUUGCUAAUUGAAAGCCUCCCAAUACCUCACCAUGGCGGAUUGAAAUAUAGUCCGCAUUGGCAAUUUUUGACAGUCUCUACCGAGA
Molecule: small nuclear RNA, 139 nt
Organism: Callithrix jacchus (white-tufted-ear marmoset)
Lineage: Eukaryota; Metazoa; Chordata; Mammalia; Primates; Cebidae
Gene: U4
Rfam family: U4 spliceosomal RNA
About the family: U4 small nuclear RNA (U4 snRNA) is a component of the major U2-dependent spliceosome. The structure of U4 snRNA from yeast and human has been reported.
Source: Ensembl